GAUGAACGCUGGCGGCGUGCCUAAUACAUGCGAGUCGAGCGAACGGACGAGAAGCUUGCUUCUCUGAUGUUAGCGGCGGACGGGUGAGUAACACGUGGAUAACCUACCUAUAAGACUGGGAUAACUUCGGGAAACCGGAGCUAAUACCGGAUAAUAUUUUGAACCGCAUGGUUCAAAAGUGAAAGACGGUCUUGCUGUCACUUAUAGAUGGAUCCGCGCUGCAUUAGCUAGUUGGUAAGGUAACGGCUUACCAAGGCAACGAUGCAUAGCCGACCUGAGAGGGAGAUCGGCCACACUGGAACUGAGACACGGUCCAGACUCCUACGGGAGGCAGCAGUAGGGAAUCUUCCGCAAUGGGCGAAAGCCUGACGGAGCAACGCCGCGUGAGUGAUGAAGGUCUUCGGAUCGUAAAACUCUGUUAUUAGGGAAGAACAUAUGUGUAAGUAACUGUGCACAUCUUGACGGUACCUAAUCAGAAAGCCACGGCUAACUACGUG
This 497-nucleotide ribosomal RNA is filed under the name uncultured bacterium. Its description in RNAcentral is "partial 16S ribosomal RNA". It matches the Rfam family "Bacterial small subunit ribosomal RNA", at positions 28 to 507 of the family's 1533-position model. The record is from RNAcentral.